GCAAGUUCGAUGAUCGGGAGAGUAAUGAACGGACGUCUAUGUCCAAGCGAGCCGGGAGAGUGGGAGCCGGUACAGACGCGUUCACGAAACGGACCCGGGAGAUGGACUUCCGAAGCGCAACUAGGGAGCCCCGGUUUACGCCGUUAAAGUAUACGAAAGUGGUCGACCCAAACAAGGUUGGCAACGAGAGUGGUACCGCGAGAACUAUAGUCCUCGUCUCUUAU
Non-coding RNA from Paenibacillus sp. DMB20, 224 nucleotides. The record is from Rfam. NCBI's taxonomy places the organism in Bacteria, Bacillati, Bacillota, Bacilli, Caryophanales, Paenibacillaceae.